This is a long non-coding RNA of Cynara cardunculus var. scolymus (artichoke), 227 nucleotides long. RefSeq lists it as uncharacterized. The record is from RefSeq and is a predicted model, not a curated record. NCBI's taxonomy places the organism in Eukaryota, Viridiplantae, Streptophyta, Magnoliopsida, Asterales, Asteraceae. The transcript is spliced from 3 exons.
CCCUAACCCUAAUACCUCUAAUUGUGAUAGCCGCUAGAGAGAAACCCUAAGAGCUUGGAAGAGUCCAUCGUUAACCUAGGAGGGAACCCGAUGGCCAAAAGCAAGCAAGGUUCCAUCGAUUUCUUGUCGGUUUGAGGGCAUAUAUAAAGGAAUAAAUUUGGGGAAUCGAUAAGUUUUGUGAAGUUUAAGGUAAUCAAGGGGAUGCUAGGUUUUGUGACAGAGAGUAG